This 495-nucleotide ribosomal RNA is filed under the name uncultured bacterium. RNAcentral describes it as "partial 16S ribosomal RNA". It matches the Rfam family "Bacterial small subunit ribosomal RNA", at positions 28 to 505 of the family's 1533-position model. The record is from RNAcentral.
GAUGAACGCUGGCGGCGUGCCUAAUACAUGCAAGUCGAGCGAACAGACGAGGAGCUUGCUCCUCUGACGUUAGCGGAGGACGUGUGAGUAACACGUGGAUAACCUACCUAUCAGACUGGGAUCACUUCGGGAAACCGGAGCUAAUACCGGAUAAUAUAUUGAACCGCGUGGUUCAAUGGUAAAAGACGGUUUUGCUGUCACUUAUAGCUGGAUCCGCGCCGCAUUAGGUAGUUGGUAAGGUAACGGCUUACCACGGCAACGAUGCUUAGCCGGCCUAAGAGGGUGAUCGGCCAUGCUGGAGUUAACGGCCGGACCGGGACUCAACGACGGGCAGCAGUCGUAAGUGAGCCACCAGGGGCGAAUGCCUGACGGUGCAACGCCGCGUGAGGGAGGAAGGUCGCCUGAUCGAAAAACGCUGUCAGUAGGGAAGACCAAAUGGGUAGGUAACUAGGGACAGCGUGGCGGUUCGGUAUCAGAAAGCCGCGUCGAACUACG